UACGUAGGGGGCAAGCGUUGUCCGGAUUUAUUGGGCGUAAAGAGCGUGUAGGCGGUCUGGUAGGUCCGUUGUGAAAACUCGAGGCUCAACCUCGAGACGCCGAUGGAAACCCUCAGACUAGAGUACGGAAGAGGCGAGUGGAAUUCCUGGUGUAGCGGUGAAAUGCGUAGAUAUCAGGAGGAACACCGGUGGUGUAGACGGCUUUCUGGACCGUAACUGACGCUGAGACACGAAAGCGUGGGUAGCAAACAGG
RNAcentral lists this ribosomal RNA (253 nucleotides) under uncultured bacterium. RNAcentral describes it as "partial 16S ribosomal RNA". It matches the Rfam family "Bacterial small subunit ribosomal RNA", at positions 524 to 776 of the family's 1533-position model. The record is from RNAcentral.